CUUGUCUUCAAGAUUAAGCCAUGCAUGUGUAAGCACAAGCCAUUUAAAUGGUGAAGCCGCGAAUGGCUCAUUACAACAGCCAUAUUUUAUUGGAUCUUGACAGUUACUUGGAUAACUGCGGUAAUUCUGGAGCUAAUACAUGCAUUUAAACCCCGACCUCACGGAAAGGGUGCAUUUAUUAGAACAAAACCAAUCGAGCUUCGGCUCGCUCUUUGGUGACUCUGAAUAACUUUGCUGAUCGCACGGUCUCGAACCGGCGACGUAUCUUUCAAAUGUCUGCCUUAUCAACUGUCGAUGGUAGUUUAUGCGCCUACCAUGGUUGUAACGGGUAACGGAGAAUCAGGGUUUGACUCCGGAGAGGGAGCCUGAGAAACGGCUACCACUUCCAAGGAAG
This 394-nucleotide ribosomal RNA is filed under the name Lauratonema sp. Ugent CeMoFe61X23B15. RNAcentral's name for it is "SSU rRNA". It matches the Rfam family "Eukaryotic small subunit ribosomal RNA", at positions 31 to 424 of the family's 1831-position model. The record is from RNAcentral. Lineage: Eukaryota; Metazoa; Nematoda; Enoplea; Enoplida; Lauratonematidae.